AUUCCCAUUGUGAAGGUGCGAUGGCAGCUUCAUACCCUGGAAGAAGCAACGUGGGAGUUGGAAAGAGAGAUGAGGGAGAAGUAUUCGAACUUGUUCGAGAUAAAUUUGAGGACCAAACUUUUCUAAGGUGGUGAGGAUGUGUUUGCCCAUCGCUGUGCUUAAUUAAUUUGAAAAACCAUAUUUGUUCGGGCCUUUUAGGCCCCAUUGAACUUAUUUAAUUUCUCCGCAUAUUGUUUAUCGUAAAACAUGAAUCUUGCUGAUUUUUAAUUAUUUUGAUUUUAUUCAAUAUUAUUUUAUUUUAAUUAUUUUUGUUUAAUUUUCAUUUAAUUUCAAUUAUAUUAUUUAUUUUAUCCCAGUAAAAAUUGGAAAAAUCAUAAAAAAAUUGCAAAAUGGAUAAAAAUAAUCUUGUGGGAAGCUGCCUGCAGGAUGCCUGUGUUAUGUGCACGCACGCACGUACAGCAGAUGCAGGACGUGCACACAACACGCACGUCCCAUCCGCGCGCGAUGCAGGGGGUCACACCCUGCACUUGUUUUUUCGCGCGCAGGUGGGGAAGUCUGCGGGUCACCUUGUGCGCAGACAGGUGUCGCACAUUGUGCACACACCAUCAGCUCAGCAGGCCUACGCAGAUAGGCCCCUGUGUGUCUAGGGCUGCGUGCGUGGUAAGUGGCUUGUGCACCUGCAGGCUAGCCUGCAGCAUGUCGGGCGGGCCACUGUCACCUCGGGCAGUGUACCACCGUCACCUCAGGCGAUGAGCCACCACCACCAGCGAAGGAGG
RNAcentral lists this long non-coding RNA (776 nucleotides) under Carica papaya (papaya). RNAcentral describes it as "long non-coding RNA (CPAP_LNC006455)". Lineage: Eukaryota; Viridiplantae; Streptophyta; Magnoliopsida; Brassicales; Caricaceae. The record is from RNAcentral.